CCCUUAGAUGUUCUGGGCGGCCCGCGCACUACAAUGGCGUGUGCAGCGAGUGCCGAAGUAGAGUUUUCCGAGGUAUUCUUGCAAUGCUCGUUUUGAUGGGGAUAGACCCUUGCAACUGUUGGUUUUGAACGAGGAAUUCCUUGUAAGCAUGGUUUAUCAUCCGACGCCGAAUGCGUCCCUGCCCUUUGUACACACCGCCCGUCGCUCCUACCGAUGAGUCGUCCGGUGAAGUUCGUAGACCUCGUGAUCGCGGAUCACUGGGGGAAGCAAAAUGAACCUCGCGGUUUAGAGGAAGGAGAAGUCGUAACA
This 309-nucleotide ribosomal RNA is filed under the name uncultured eukaryote. RNAcentral's name for it is "partial 18S ribosomal RNA". It matches the Rfam family "Eukaryotic small subunit ribosomal RNA", at positions 1470 to 1796 of the family's 1831-position model. The record is from RNAcentral.